This 483-nucleotide ribosomal RNA is filed under the name uncultured Bacteroidota bacterium. Its description in RNAcentral is "bacterial SSU rRNA". It matches the Rfam family "Bacterial small subunit ribosomal RNA", at positions 224 to 704 of the family's 1533-position model. Lineage: Bacteria; Pseudomonadati; Bacteroidota. The record is from RNAcentral.
GAUGAGCAUGCGUCCCAUUAGCUUGUUGGUAAGGUAACGGCUUACCAAGGCAACGAUGGGUAGGGGUCCUGAGAGGGAGAUCCCCCACACUGGUACUGAGACACGGACCAGACUCCUACGGGAGGCAGCAGUGAGGAAUAUUGGUCAAUGGGCGCAAGCCUGAACCAGCCAUGCCGCGUGCAGGAUGAAGCAUCUAUGGUGUGUAAACUGCUUUUGUACGAGAAGAAACACUCCUACGUGUAGGAGCAUGACGGUAUCGUAAGAAUAAGGACCGGCUAACUCCGUGCCAGCAGCCGCGGUAAUACGGAGGGUCCAAGCGUUAUCCGGAAUCAUUGGGUUUAAAGGGUCCGUAGGCGGUUUUGUAAGUCAGUGGUGAAAGCCCAUCGCUCAACGGUGGAACGGCCAUUGAUACUGCAAGACUUGAAUUAUUAGGAAGUAACUAGAAUAUGUAGUGUAGCGGUGAAAUGCUUAGAGAUUACAUGG